UCUAAAGAUCCUGUGUCCAAAUACACUCACAUUCUUGGGUAUUUAAGGACUUCAAUAUAUGAAUUUUUGGGGAGACAUAAUUGGGCACACAGCAUGGGUUAAAGAAAGUGGAAAUUGUAUCCUUUGACUUUUUUUUCUCCACCUUUCUGUGUAAGAAGGAAAGGAUAUCUUUUGGAAAAAAGAUACGGAGAAGAAAAUGCCCAGGAAUGUGUAGAAGCAAGGAUCCUGCAUUGUUCUUCUGACAUGCCUUUCACCUUCCGCCAUGAUUGAGGCCUCUCCAGCCACAUGGAACCGUGAGUCCAUUAAACCUCUUUUUCCUUAUAAAUUACCCAGUCUUGGGUAUGUCUUUAUCAGCAGCAUGAGAACGAACUAAUAUACAAGGGCUGAUCUCAAACUCCUGACCUCAAGCAAUCCUCCUACCUUGGCAUCCCAAAGUAUUGGGAUUACAGGCGUGAACUACUGCACCUGGCCUAAGGUCAAUUCUUGAAUACAGAGACUGAGUAAAGAUAGGACGUUGAUAAUUUGGACUCUUAAACAUAAACCAACUCUUUAAAGCCUUUACAUCAUCUCAUCAGUGUUGCCUGAAGUUUUUGACCAAGUAGCUCAAUUUGCUAGGGCUGCUGUAACAAAGUAUCACAAACUGGAUAGUUUAAACAACAGACAUUUGCCUCACAGUUCCUGAGGCUACAAGUCCAAGAUCAAGGUGUCAGCGGGACUGAUUCCUUCUGAGGGCUGUGAGGAGAAUCUGUCCCAGGACCCUCGCCUAGCUUCUGACAGUUUGCUGGCUACCUUCGGAGUUCCUUGGCUUGUAAAAGCAUUACCCCAAUGUCCGCCUUUACCUUCAAAAGGCAUAGGUAUUCUUCCCGUUUGUGUGUCUCUGUUCAAAUUUUCUGUUCUUGGAAGGACAUUAGUCAUACUGGAUUAGGGAUUGGGGGCCCACCUUUUCGCUCCUUCUUUUCUUCUUUCUUUUGUUUGUUUGCUUGUUUGUUUGAGACAGAGUCUAGCCCUGUCUCCUAAGCUGGAGUGCAGUGGUGUGAUCUUGGUUCACUGCAAACUCCACCUCCCAGGUUUAAGCGAUUCUCC
Molecule: long non-coding RNA, 1083 nt
Filed under: Homo sapiens (human)
Lineage: Eukaryota; Metazoa; Chordata; Mammalia; Primates; Hominidae
Description: HSALNT0124677
Source: RNAcentral